Molecule: ribosomal RNA, 701 nt
Filed under: uncultured Bacteroidota bacterium
Lineage: Bacteria; Pseudomonadati; Bacteroidota
Description: bacterial SSU rRNA
Rfam family: Bacterial small subunit ribosomal RNA
Source: RNAcentral
UACGCUAGCGGCAGGCUACACAUGCAGUCGAGGGGCAGCGGGAGUGUUGCACUCGCCGGCGACGGCGCACGGGUGCGGAACGCGGAUGGAAUCUACCUCUUUCUGGGGAAUAGCCCAUGGAAACGUGAAUUAAUACCCCAUAGUAUUCAGAGAUCGCAUGAUCUCUGUCUUAAAGCUUUGGCGGAAAGAGAUGACCAUGCGUAUCAUUAGCUAGUAGGCGAGGUAACGGCUCACCUAGGCAACGAUGAUUAGGGGUCCUGAGAGGGAGAUCCCCCACACUGGUACUGAGACGCGGACCAGACUCCUACGGGAGGCAGCAGUGAGGAAUAUUGGACAAUGGUCGAAAGACUGAUCCAGCCAUGCCGCGUGCAGGAUGAAUGCCCUAUGGGUUGUAAACUGCUUUUAUACGGGAAGAACACCACCCACGUGUGGGUGACUGACGGUACCGUAAGAAUAAGGACCGGCUAACUCCGUGCCAGCAGCCGCGGUAAUACGGAGGGUCCAAGCGUUAUCCGGAAUCAUUGGGUUUAAAGGGUCCGUAGGCGGGCAAUUAAGUCAGAGGUGACAGUCUGCGGCUCCACCGUAGAACCUGCUUUGAAACUGGUCGGUCUGAAUCGCGGUGAAGUAGUCACACAUGUGUGGUGUACCGGUGACUGCCUUGAUUCCCCCAGAAUACCGGUGCGAAAGGCGAUUACAACAAU